Molecule: ribosomal RNA, 231 nt
Filed under: uncultured bacterium
Lineage: Bacteria
Description: partial 16S ribosomal RNA
Rfam family: Bacterial small subunit ribosomal RNA
Source: RNAcentral
AGUAACACGUAGGUGACCUACCCCAAAGAGGGGGAUAACGGCCCGAAAGGGGCUGCUAAUACCCCAUGUGAUUAGCGAUUCAUUUCGUUAAUGAAAGCUUCCGCAAGGAGUGUGCUUUGGGAGGGGCCUGCGGCGGAUUAGAUUGUUGGUGGGGUAAUGGCCUACCAAGUCGAUGAUCCGUAGCUAGUCUGAGAGGACGAUUAGCCACACUGGCACUGACACACGGGCCAG